UCGGUAUAUUACUUUAAAAUAAGUUAGACGUUACACCAAUCAGGGUCAUACUGUACUAGCAUUUACUACAUUCCGGGUACUUUGUCCCGCCAAAAAAAGCUUGGUCCACGCUCCACUUUUCCCUCGUCGUUGUAACAAGAAUAUGGAAGAAACUGCUCGACUACUAUCGCAAUGUGGGUUGGAUUGCUAUUUUGAUACUUUCAAGGAAAAUGCAAUAACGGACGACGCGACGCGGAAUAAGAUUUGGCAACAAUUGUACCAAUACGAAACUUUGAAAGGAAUUCAGAAGUAGAGAAAUGGCACGAUUUACGUAUGUUUUCAAUGCAAAAAUUCCUUCAUCAAUACCAUUACUCUCCGAUCACUUUAAAUAUGUACAUAGGUUAUCAAAGUUAACGCAAUUAUUUCAUAUUAUUUUGGUUGUUCUAUAAUUGUGAUUUAAAGAGUUCAAGUGGAUUUAAUUGAAAUAAAUAUAUGCUAAUGAGGAGAUUCACAAAUACCGCAUUCAUUUCAUUAAGACACUAAAUACCGCGACCAUUAUUCAUUUUACUUAAUAUGGGGUUAGAACAGUAACCCCAACCAGGGUUAGCACCUAGACGAGAAUAGGGUAAAUGGCUAUUUGCAAAGGGUAACUACCGUUACUUUGUUGCUGCAUGGUGGCUGUAUACCCCAAAUCGGGUAAAGUCACUUUUACGUUUAUAUUUAGUUAUAUUUUACUCCUUUUAGGGUAAUAAUUUUUAAGCGUGUAGGUAGUUAAAAUUAAUGAGUCAAGAUUAAUGGCGUGUGGAUAUUUAUUUAUUCUGUUAAAUUUUUAAGCAUAAUGUUCGUAGCAUAGCGCGUGAUCCACUCCAAGUCCCAUUUUUCCAAUUGAAAUAGAUUAACAACUUUGGCCAUCUUUGACUUGCAUCGCAAUGUUUGCUGUUGCGGAUUAAACAUUGAAGACGAACCAUACAUUUAAUCCUCCACGACUUAUUACUGACGGACAUUCCUCUUUUCAUCGUCUCAUCUCAGUACCGGCGAGUGCAUGACAUUUCACGUGGUGUCGUCUGUUUAACACAAAAUCUAGCAUUUUCAACAUAUCAAUGACUUCUUGAUUCAUAUUUGUACCUAAAUUGCAUCUCCUUAUCAUUAUCCUUGUCUGACGAUAAUCUUAAUCGAUUCCUUGACUCAAGAAGACGACCGCUGUCUUGAUAUUCGUGUCGUUUCAUCAAGGAGCAAAUAUUCCGACCACAUGUUUGCAAAACUGACCGACGACAGCACUGAUAACGAGCAACAUUAAAAUCUCCUCCCUCAUUGUUGUAAGAGGCACACGGCAACUGCAUUGCGCAUACUAAUAAAAAGAGACAACCAGUCAUUGUUGAUUGUGCAAGGGAGGAAGCUAAAUUAACUUUGUGAGACUAUCAAAGCCUUGCUAAAUCUAAUGUAACGUGCAAUUUUAUUGUUGUCUGUUAGAGAACGUAGAAUGUAUGUAUGCUCAACUGAGCAACAUUAAUUAUCCGAUUUGCAUAUGACAACUCUGUCCGUCAGUCAUAUUAUUUUUACUAUUAGCAAUUUGUUCUUGCGCAUUAAUUUGUUUUUUUUGAGGGAUCAAGAAACUUGUAGAUUCCUGUAACUCGGCUGUAAAUUUUGUGUGUUUACUAACAAAAAAGUGAGGUCUCAAGUUGGAAGGAGUGUUUGCACUC
This is a long non-coding RNA of Folsomia candida, 1679 nucleotides long. RefSeq lists it as uncharacterized. The transcript has 5 exons. Lineage: Eukaryota; Metazoa; Arthropoda; Collembola; Entomobryomorpha; Isotomidae. The record is from RefSeq and is a predicted model, not a curated record.